This 889-nucleotide ribosomal RNA is filed under the name uncultured bacterium. Its description in RNAcentral is "bacterial SSU rRNA". It matches the Rfam family "Bacterial small subunit ribosomal RNA", at positions 51 to 934 of the family's 1533-position model. The record is from RNAcentral.
ACACAUGCAAGUCGAGGGGCAGCAUAAUGGAUAGCAAUAUCUAUGGUGGCGACCGGCGCACGGGUGCGUAACGCGUAUGCAACCUACCUUUAACAGGGGGAUAACACUGAGAAAUUGGUACUAAUACCCCAUAAUAUCAUAGAAGGCAUCUUUUAUGGUUGAAAAUUCCGAUGGUUAGAGAUGGGCAUGCGUUGUAUUAGCUAGUUGGUGGGGUAACGGCUCACCAAGGCGACGAUACAUAGGGGGACUGAGAGGUUAACCCCCCACACUGGUACUGAGACACGGACCAGACUCCUACGGGAGGCAGCAGUGAGGAAUAUUGGUCAAUGGACGCAAGUCUGAACCAGCCAUGCCGCGUGCAGGAUGACGGCUCUAUGAGUUGUAAACUGCUUUUGUACGAGGGUAAACGCAGAUACGUGUAUCUGUCUGAAAGUAUCGUACGAAUAAGGAUCGGCUAACUCCGUGCCAGCAGCCGCGGUAAUACGGAGGAUUCAAGCGUUAUCCGGAUUUAUUGGGUUUAAAGGGUGCGUAGGCGGUUUGAUAAGUUAGAGGUGAAAUUUCGGGGCUCAACCCUGAACGUGCCUCUAAUACUGUUGAGCUAGAGAGUAGUUGCGGUAGGCGGAAUGUAUGGUGUAGCGGUGAAAUGCUUAGAGAUCAUACAGAACACCGAUUGCGAAGGCAGCUUACCAAACUAUAUCUGACGUUGAGGCACGAAAGCGUGGGGAGCAAACAGGAUUAGAUACCCUGGUAGUCCACGCAGUAAACGAUGAUAACUCGUUGUCGGCGAUACACGGUCGGUGACUAAGCGAAAGCGAUAAGUUAUCCACCUGGGGAGUACGUUCGCAAGAAUGAAACUCAAAGGAAUUGACGGGGGCCCGCACAAGCGGAG